UCCCUGGAUCUUCAACAGCAUGAAGACGGGCUAUGACAAUGGCUUAACUCUUCACUGAUUCGCUCUUCCACAAGACAUUAGCUGCAAAGACUGAAUCAGGGAAUCAGAUGAAUGGUGACUUUUUCAUGUGGUGCACUCUGGGCAGGAUAUCAUCAUAUACUGUAAGUUGGUUAUAGAGACACUACAGUAUAGAUGAUGUACUAUCCAGGGCUUCAUUCCCUCACUUGGAAACACUGGGGUUAAUGGCAUGGAUUCACUAGCUGGACGCACACUUGGGAAACCAGUAAGAGAGUGGCAGUCAAACCGUUACCAUUACUGAGCUUUAGUAAUGGUAAGGGUUAUAUUGCCUCUUCUCACUGUCAUCUGGUGGACAGAGAACUAACAGUUACUAUAAACCACUGUGAAUCAUAAAAAUAGCACUUAUUAAUGUUUUCAUAAGAAAUAAUAAUUAAGCUUUUAAAAUGCAUAUUGAUAUUGUGCUCAACAACUGAGUAACUACAAUGUUUUCUGAAUAAAGAUGUAGUUCCUGCCACAAUAUGCCUGCAUCCUCUGUCUCCCAAAGGACACAAGCUUCUCUGCUUGCACAUUUACCAGUUUAAAAAAUUUGUUUUUCUUUUAUACUCAAUUUACAUUCCUCAUUACAUAUUGUACAUGGCAAAUCUUACAAGACACAUUAUUUGGCUUGUAUCUGAACAAACACCUUUGCAUUUAUCAUACACAUCCUUAUUUACCUAAAUUAGUUCUCUACCUGCACAUUAACAUAGACUGUGUUGCAAAGACACUUAAAGUGUCAUGUAAAACAAAAAUCAAGAGUAUAAAUAUUUUUAAAUGCUUUUAAUGCUUAAUUAUGUAAAAUGGUACACAUAUUUGCAACUCAAAACAAUAACAAAAUGCUGUAUGGAAACAAUAAACAAUAUAUAAUUUCAUAUAUAAUAAAACGUAUUGAUUUCUGAUGUAACUAAUUUAUCUCAAUAAAGUGAUAUGAGUUCUGG
Long non-coding RNA from Anguilla rostrata (American eel), 992 nucleotides. RefSeq lists it as uncharacterized. The record is from RefSeq and is a predicted model, not a curated record. Lineage: Eukaryota; Metazoa; Chordata; Actinopteri; Anguilliformes; Anguillidae. The transcript is spliced from 2 exons.